AGCUUUUCGAAUCCGUGCUGAGAUUUCGUCAGACACCACCUCGUUAGGGGUGAUCAGACUUCCGAGAUAAGUGAAGUU
Molecule: microRNA precursor, 78 nt
Filed under: Schistosoma margrebowiei
Lineage: Eukaryota; Metazoa; Platyhelminthes; Trematoda; Strigeidida; Schistosomatidae
Description: mir-3492 microRNA precursor family
Rfam family: mir-3492 microRNA precursor family
Source: Rfam by way of RNAcentral